This 253-nucleotide ribosomal RNA is filed under the name uncultured bacterium. Its description in RNAcentral is "partial 16S ribosomal RNA". It matches the Rfam family "Bacterial small subunit ribosomal RNA", at positions 524 to 776 of the family's 1533-position model. The record is from RNAcentral.
UACGUAGGGAGCAAGCGUUGUCCGGAAUCAUUGGGCGUAAAGCGCGCGUAGGCGGGUCGUUAAGUCGGGGGUGAAAUCCUGGAGCUCAACUCCAGAACUGCCUUCGAUACUGGCGAUCUUGAGUCCGGGAGAGGUGAGUGGAACUCCGAGUGUAGAGGUGAAAUUCGUAGAUAUUCGGAAGAACACCAGUGGCGAAGGCGGCUCACUGGCCCGGUACUGACGCUGAGGUGCGAAAGCGUGGGGAGCAAACAGG